ACUCCUACGGGAGGCAGCAGUGGGGAAUAUUGCACAAUGGGCGCAAGCCUGAUGCAGCCAUGCCGCGUGUGUGAAGAAGGCCUUCGGGUUGUAAAGCACUUUCAGCGGGGAGGAAGGCGAUAAGGUUAAUAACCUCAUCGAUUGACGUACC
This 151-nucleotide ribosomal RNA is filed under the name uncultured Klebsiella sp. Its description in RNAcentral is "partial 16S ribosomal RNA". It matches the Rfam family "Bacterial small subunit ribosomal RNA", at positions 335 to 479 of the family's 1533-position model. The record is from RNAcentral. Lineage: Bacteria; Pseudomonadati; Pseudomonadota; Gammaproteobacteria; Enterobacterales; Enterobacteriaceae.